This 66-nucleotide transfer RNA is filed under the name marine eukaryotic metagenome. It matches the Rfam family "tRNA". From Rfam's summary of the family: Transfer RNA (tRNA) molecules are approximately 80 nucleotides in length. Their secondary structure includes four short double-helical elements and three loops (D, anti-codon, and T loops). The record is from RNAcentral.
CCUAUAGCUCAGUGGAUAGAGCACCGGCCUCCGGAGCCGGGAGCCCAGGUUCGAAUCCUGGUAGGC